This 529-nucleotide ribosomal RNA is filed under the name uncultured Lachnospiraceae bacterium. RNAcentral describes it as "bacterial SSU rRNA". It matches the Rfam family "Bacterial small subunit ribosomal RNA", at positions 37 to 563 of the family's 1533-position model. Lineage: Bacteria; Bacillati; Bacillota; Clostridia; Lachnospirales; Lachnospiraceae. The record is from RNAcentral.
UGGCGGCGUGCUUAACACAUGCAAGUCGAACGAAGCACUUUACCACGAUUCCUUCGGGAUGACGGUUUGGUGACUGAGUGGCGGACGGGUGAGUAACGCGUGGGGAACCUGCCCCAUACCGGGGGAUAACAGCCGGAAACGGCUGCUAAUACCGCAUAAGCGCACAGUACCGCAUGGUACGGUGUGAAAAACUCCGGUGGUAUGGGAUGGACCCGCGUCUGAUUAGCCAGUUGGCGGGGUAACGGCCCACCAAAGCGACGAUCAGUAGCCGGCCUGAGAGGGCGACCGGCCACAUUGGGACUGAGACACGGCCCAGACUCCUACGGGAGGCAGCAGUGGGGAAUAUUGCACAAUGGGGGAAACCCUGAUGCAGCGACGCCGCGUGAGUGAGGAAGUAUUUCGGUAUGUAAAGCUCUAUCAGCAGGGAAGAAGAAAUGACGGUACCUGACUAAGAAGCCCCGGCUAACUACGUGCCAGCAGCCGCGGUAAUACGUACGGGGCAAGCGUUAUCCGGAUUUACUGGGUGUAA